UACGUAGGGUGCGAGCGUUGUCCGGAAUUAUUGGGCGUAAAGAGUGUGUAGGCGGUGCUCUAAGUUCGGUGUGAAAUCUCCCGGCUUAACUGGGAGGGUGCGCCGGAAACUGGAGUGCUCGAACGUGGGAGAGGAAAGCGGAAUUCCUGGUGUAGCGGUGAAAUGCGUAGAUAUCAGGAGGAACACCUGCGGUGUAGACGGCUUUCUGGACCAUUGUUGACGCUGAGACACGAAAGCGUGGGUAGCAAACAGG
RNAcentral lists this ribosomal RNA (253 nucleotides) under uncultured bacterium. RNAcentral describes it as "partial 16S ribosomal RNA". It matches the Rfam family "Bacterial small subunit ribosomal RNA", at positions 524 to 776 of the family's 1533-position model. The record is from RNAcentral.